Molecule: long non-coding RNA, 2881 nt
Organism: Carica papaya (papaya)
Lineage: Eukaryota; Viridiplantae; Streptophyta; Magnoliopsida; Brassicales; Caricaceae
Source: RefSeq, a predicted model, not a curated record
UGUUCCUUGUUGACUAUUUAGGGGAAAUGAGCCCUAUACUUCUCAGUUUGUCACCAGCCAAACUUGAGGAUGAGAGCUGACGGUAGAGAAGGAAGCUUAGAAUCUAGUUUGCUUGGUAUGGACCUAAGUGAAUUUUUUGACUUAAAGAUAUGGGAAUUGGUUAAUAAGAGUUCAAAAAGUGGCUAAAGGUGACCAGGAUGCGCGGGAGAGGCUGGAAAAAGAUUAACUACAGCUGAAACGAAGCAGAACAUGGUGCCAAAAAUAGACCAUAACAGAGUGCCGAAAACAGCAGAUCUGCACAAAAAUGGAGUAGAUCUGUGUGCACAAAAUAGAGUCAGUAUGUGCGCAAAAACAGAGCAAAUCUGCAGUCAAGAACAGAGCAGACUUGCACACAAAACAGAGGAAAAUAGUGUAGGAUACAAAUCAGAACUGCAUGCAAAAAUAGAGCAGAAUGAGGCAUGGAAAACAGAGUAAAAAUGAAGCAGCAACGGCUGAAACAGACUGAUACACUCCGAAAAAUCACAACAGCAGCGGAUACCCAACCCCAAGCACAGUAACUGUUUGGUCCCAAUCAAAGCUUGAAGAAAAUAAGAAAAAGACUUUCUGCUAGAGGUGAGAAAGAAACCAGAAUUUGAUUUAAAUUUUUACUUACUUUCUAUCUAAAGUUUCAGGCUUUAAAUAGCCAACAAGAGAUUACAAGAUAAUGGUAAAUUCCUACAUUUACGACAUGAAAAAUAAAGGAUAAAGAUCGUGGAUCACUUCAGUUGUGGGGAGUUGCUGAUGUGGAGUGGAGCGGUUCUUCAGUUGGAGGUGGAUAAGUGAGACCAAUUUUGUAGGUGUGCACGUGCUAUUGACCAUGCUCCAUCAAGGUACUUUGGGUUCUUUGGGGGGAUACGUUGGUAAGCUUGUAAGAGCUGUGGUUCAGUAAGACUGAGGGGUAGGACUACCUGUGCUUAUAGUAAUCAAUCCAUUUCUUGCCGUAAAUCUGUAAAUCCCGACGUAUCCCCACAAAGAACCCAAAGUAUCUUGAUGGAGCAUGACCAGGUCAACAACGCGUGCACACCUACAGAAUUGAUCUCACUUAUCCACCUCCAACGGAAGAACUGCUCUACUCCACAGCAGCAACUCCCCACAACAGAAGUGAUCCACGAUCUUUCUCAUUUGGAUUGUAGUGGAACGUUGUCAAACCGUCCCUAGCAUUUUAGAAUGUUGCCGCUUGCCACUUUUACUGGAAACGGGGCCGUUGGAAUGAUCGGAAGCCGUAAUCGGCUUGCCACCUUUUCGCAAAUGAAGUUGUGCAUGGAGCCACGAUCGAUGAGAGCAACUGCUUCCUGAUGUCCGAUGGUGGCGGUGACUCGCAUGGUGCGAGCCGGUGUUCAGACCAUGAGAGUGUGCAAGGAGAUUUCGGGUUCGGGACCCUCUGCUUUUUUGUCUUCCUCACUGACUCCUUCAAGUAGCAGGAGCUACGGUAUGCUACAAUGGUGGCUAGCCAUGAAGCGCUCGUUGCUGUUGAAGCACAACCCUUGUGAUCUUCGUCGUUGCAUCUUUUCUCAAGUGAGCCUCUUUGGCGCUAUGUUCGUGGCGGCGGUUUGUGGAAGAGGCUCGGGUAAAGAUGACGGAUUCUGGGUAGGUUGGGUUUCCCGGGUCAGGUCAGACGAUUUUUUUGACCCACCUAUUCUUCCCGCAUUCAAGUCAGGCCUAUGGCAUCUCUGAGUGUCCUGGGCUUGAACAUCUGAAUCCCAUCAGCUAUCUCAGGCUUGAGCCCACCAAUGAAGGCUCCAACUAGGGCCCGCUGGGGCCACCCAUGGACUCUGUUGCCUAAUUUUUUGAACUCCCUCUGAUAAUCACAGAGUGGGCCGGUCUGACGGAUGUGGGCCAGAGCUUCAUCAAAGUCUUCAAACUCGGUUGGCCCAAACCGCGCCCACAGCUCCUCUUCAAACCCAGUCCAGGUGGUAGGCGGUAAGAGACACCUUGUGUUGCUCGGUGGUGCCUUGAUAGGAGAAGAAUUGGUCGAUCCAGCAUACCCAUUCAGUCGAGUCACCCCCGGCAGAGACCGAAAACUCCAGCUUGGCGAGUUUGGAAUAAAAUGGGUUGCUGUUGUUCUCUUCAGGUAGUGGAUUUACGUCGCGGUUUGUGAGAGACGAGCUGGGAUGAAGGGGGUGGUGGCUACUGGAGCCUUCUUUACCAGAUGCAAUGGAGUUGGUGAGUCAUUGGAUGGAUUCUUCAAGCGCUUGAAAUCAAUCGACCAUUCCGGUUUUUAUUCUAAAUCCGUUUUUUAUUAGUCAUCAUAGUAAUCUACUUUGAUACCAAUGUUUGGUCCCAAUAGCUUGAAGAAAAUAAGAAAAAGGCUUUCUGCUUAAGGUGAGAAAGAAACCAGAAUUUGAUUUAAAUUUUUACUUACAUUCUAUCUAAAGUUCUAGGCUUUAAAUAGCCAAUAAGAGAUUACAAGAUAAUGGUAAAUUCCUACAUUUAUGCCAUGAAAAUUAAAGGAUAACGAUCGUGGAUCACUUCUGUUGUGGAGAGCUGCUACUGUGGAGUGGAGUGGUUCUUCAGCUGGAGGUGGAUAAGUGAGACCAAUUCUGUAGGUGUGCACGUGCUGUUGACUUAGUCAUGCUCCAUCAAGAUACUUUGGGUUCUUUGUGGGGAUACCUUGGGAUCUAUGAAUCCUAAUAGUAACCGCCUCCCAUGAUUCAAUCAAAUAGUUGAAGAAGAAUUGCCAUGAUGUCAUGAUCUCCAUCAGUUUCUGUAGGCAAUUUCUUUUAUCCCUAAAUUAAUGUUCAUGUCCUGAAUAGCAGGAGCAGUUCUGUGUUUACAGUUAUGUUGUCUUGUAUUUAAACAUGCAAGUAUCAAGUGAAUGUAUGUCUUUUAUUAUCAAUGAAAA